RNAcentral lists this ribosomal RNA (253 nucleotides) under uncultured bacterium. RNAcentral describes it as "partial 16S ribosomal RNA". It matches the Rfam family "Bacterial small subunit ribosomal RNA", at positions 524 to 776 of the family's 1533-position model. The record is from RNAcentral.
GACAGAGGGUGCGACCGUUGCUCGGAAUCAUUGGGCGUAAAGCGCGUGUAGGCGGCAUCGCACGUCGGGUGUGAAAGCCCGGGGCUCAACCCCGGCAGUGCACCCGAAACGACGAUGCUAGAGUGCUGGAGAGGCGGGUGGAAUUCCUGGUGUAGAGGUGAAAUUCGUAGAUAUCAGGAGGAACACCGGUGGCGAAGGCGACCCGCUGGCCAGCGACUGACGCUGAGGUGCGAAAGCGUGGGGAGCAAACAGG